RNAcentral lists this ribosomal RNA (500 nucleotides) under uncultured bacterium. Its description in RNAcentral is "bacterial SSU rRNA". It matches the Rfam family "Bacterial small subunit ribosomal RNA", at positions 24 to 518 of the family's 1533-position model. The record is from RNAcentral.
UCAGGACGAACGCUGGCGGCGUGCUUAACACAUGCAAGUCAACGGGGGAUAUCCGAGCGGAAGGCUCCGGCUGGAAGGUUGGAUAUUCGAGUGGCGGACGGGUGAGUAACGCGUGAACAAUCUGUCCCAGACAGGGGGAUAACACUUGGAAACAGGUGCUAAUACCGCAUAAGACCACAGGGUCGCAUGGUCCAGGGGGUAAAAGGAGCAAUCCGGUUUGGGGUGAGUUCGCGUCCGAUUAGCCAGUUGGUGAGGUAACGGCCCACCAAAGCGACGAUCGGUAGCCGACCUGAGAGGGUGAUCGGCCACAUUGGAACUGAGAGACGGUCCAAACUCCUACGGGAGGCAGCAGUGGGGAAUAUUGGGCAAUGGGCGAAAGCCUGACCCAGCAACGCCGCGUGAGUGAAGAAGGCCUUCGGGUUGUAAAGCUCUGUUAUAGGGGACGAAGGAGUGACGGUACCCUAUAAGGAAGCCCCGGCUAACUACGUGCCAGCAGCUGC